Heteronotia binoei (common prickly gecko) is the source of this 109-nucleotide small nuclear RNA. The record is from RefSeq and is a predicted model, not a curated record. NCBI's taxonomy places the organism in Eukaryota, Metazoa, Chordata, Lepidosauria, Squamata, Gekkonidae.
AACUUUUAGUUAAUGUUGUACGGUUAAAUUGAAGGGCAGCACACAGAGAAGAUUAGCAUGGCCCCUGUGCAAGGAUGACAUGCAAAUCUGUGAAGCAUUCCAGAACAAA